RNAcentral lists this ribosomal RNA (493 nucleotides) under uncultured bacterium. RNAcentral describes it as "bacterial SSU rRNA". It matches the Rfam family "Bacterial small subunit ribosomal RNA", at positions 29 to 525 of the family's 1533-position model. The record is from RNAcentral.
AUUGAACGCUGGCGGCAUGCCUUACACAUGCAAGUCGAACGGCAGCACGGGAGCAAUCCUGGUGGCGAGUGGCGAACGGGUGAGUAAUAUAUCGGAACGUGCCCAGUAGUGGGGGAUAGCCCGGCGAAAGCCGGAUUAAUACCGCAUACGACCUGUGGGUGAAAGCGGGGGAUCGCAAGACCUCGCGCUAUUGGAGCGGCCGAUAUCAGAUUAGCUAGUUGGUGGGGUAAAGGCCUACCAAGGCGACGAUCUGUAGCUGGUCUGAGAGGACGACCAGCCACACUGGGACUGAGACACGGCCCAGACUCCUACGGGAGGCAGCAGUGGGGAAUUUUGGACAAUGGGCGCAAGCCUGAUCCAGCCAUGCCGCGUGUGGGAAGAAGGCCUUCGGGUUGUAAACUGCUUUGACAGGGGCCAAAUACUCAUGCGUGAGGACUUGAGAGUACCUGUAGAAUAAGCGCCGGCUAACUCCGUGCCAGCAGCCGCGGUAAUC